UGCCAUGGCUGGGUGCUGGCUGCCAAGGGCCAUCGAAGCAGCUGCAUCUGGAAUUGAACUGUCAGUGGCACCGGCUGGAGCUCUUGAUCCUCCUCCACUUCAGCAGUGUCUUUGUUUUUUCCUUUUCCUGUGGCCACGAGAGCACCUGCCCGGAGAGAGGAGCUGGCCCAGGGUCACUGCCAUCCCAGCCUGCCUCCCAGAGGGAAUGUGAUGCCACUGGCUGGGCCUCCCAGCAGCUCUUCCCCCUUCAUCCAGCUCAGCCUCACCCUCACCUUCUCCUCCACAACUGAGACAAUGGUUCCAGCCUCCAGGAUAGAAGGACUCCCAGGACACGGCUGGUGCCAGGUCACUACCCAUCUGUCCUGGGAACAGCCCAGCUGGCACUGCAAGGGACAUCUUGAUGCCAUCACACCCCACAAAGAGCUAUAAACCUGCCCUGAGACAUGGAACAGAAGAUCGAUAAUUCC
This is a long non-coding RNA of Motacilla alba alba, 467 nucleotides long. RefSeq lists it as uncharacterized. The transcript has 3 exons. The record is from RefSeq and is a predicted model, not a curated record. NCBI's taxonomy places the organism in Eukaryota, Metazoa, Chordata, Aves, Passeriformes, Motacillidae.